CCUCUCGGGGGUAAGCGGGCAGAACUUGCAAGUAUUGAUAGAGAGAUUCAGACUUAGUGUUGAUGGCUGAGAGUAUUUGUUAUGUUGUUCGUUCGCGAACUAGCUGAUUUGUACUUUUUGAUCURUUCAUGAUGCGUCGCAUUUCUCUUUAUCAUCGGGUUGCAUGCAACUGAGAUGGUAGUUUUAGGUGUUGAGGUACUGCGGACCUUGUUGUUUCGAGUCUUGAUUACCAACUACUUAUGCGGUUGUGUCAUGGCAUUGAGCAGGCUUUAAAGCGGUCAAAUAUAUUUACGAGCAGGGUAUAUGUUGUAUAUGGACGAGUAAUCGUAGUAUGUCACGUACGCUGCUUGUCGGUGAGAAUAAUUUGGCACUGUACAAGUAUUGCAAUCUAAAGCAUGCGUGGUCUGCCUGU
RNAcentral lists this ribosomal RNA (412 nucleotides) under Tillieria penai. RNAcentral's name for it is "partial 28S ribosomal RNA". The record is from RNAcentral. Lineage: Eukaryota; Metazoa; Arthropoda; Collembola; Poduromorpha; Tullbergiidae.